RNAcentral lists this transfer RNA (95 nucleotides) under Candidatus Woesearchaeota archaeon. RNAcentral's name for it is "tRNA-Glu". It matches the Rfam family "tRNA". Rfam says of the family: Transfer RNA (tRNA) molecules are approximately 80 nucleotides in length. Their secondary structure includes four short double-helical elements and three loops (D, anti-codon, and T loops). The record is from RNAcentral. Lineage: Archaea; Nanobdellati; Candidatus Woesearchaeota.
GCCCCUGUAGUGUAGAUGAAUAUACUUCAGCACAAUCCGGCCAAUCAUUUCGGAUUUUCGAUCCGAGGACCUGGGUUCGAAUCCCGGCGGGGGCA